GAAAAAAAUAAUGUAAUUUGCCUCGAUGUGAUUCAUGCCGAUGUAAUAAAAACAGAUGUAAACGGGAUUUUUAGAUGUACAAUCACAUCGGUUUGGUGAUAAAUUACAUCUUCCUUGAGAUUACACAAAAGCGAAAUCUCGAUAUCGCAUUCCGUUGUACCUGUGUGAUAUUUGCAUUGAAAAUAUGUGAAUAUUACACCGAAAUAGCUGCAACCAACUGGUUGCGACAAAGUUGUGUAAAAACACACACAUUGAUGUCAUAUCGCAUUCGAUAAGAAUGCGGUAUUAAAUCUCGCAACACUGUUGUGUUGUUGUGAUCACGAUGAUCACGAUCGCUUGCAAGUAAGCUGCCAUUUUUAAUUCUCUGGUACUUGACGAGCUUCGAGACUGUUGGCUGCUGUUUUUUCUACGAUUUUGAUUGAUUUUGGCAUAGCGACCGUUCCUGAACGGGAAAUGCUCGGUCGGAGUGGACGAGCAGUCGUUGAAAUCGUCGCGGCUAGACGGAAUCCCUACCGUACCGGACACAUACACGGAGAUUGACCAGAUUGACGCCGUGCCAACCAGACUCACCAGACUAGCAAAAGAUGCCCCAAACGCAGCAACUGUGUUCCGGUCGAAUGCGCAAGCGGAAUUGCUCUUUGGUUUUGGAAUCGAUUAUUCUUUCGUUCGAAGUCGCACUGGUUGAGCAAAGGAAGUCACGACGCAGUCGUUAAAAUCAAAGCUAAACGCAAUCCCUAUCGAACCAGACAAACAGGAUACGGACACGGAGAUUAAGAAUCCGCCGCGCCAACCAGAUUAGUAAAAGAUGUCCCAAACACAGCCACAACUGUGCUCCGACCGAAUGCGCAAGCGGCGGAAAUUUUGUUUUUUUGAAUUGCUGUUUGAUUUUGGAAUCGGUAGGUCGUUCGUUAGAAGGCGCACUAGAUGAGCGGAGGAAGUCACAAUUUAGCUUUCGGUGUUAACGGGCGAUGCGACUUGAAUCUUUUUGAUGGCAGAAAUCGGCAGCAGUAAAGCUAUUUCGCUUUGUCAAAGUUUGGAGCUGCUUGGGGAACUUGGAAGCACGGGCUCACAAGUCAUGAGUGUCCGUAGAUAUACAGAGGCGGAUCGGUUACAGUUGUACCUGCUGGUGGAGCAGAGGAACCGGAUUCGGAUAUAUGAUUGACUGGCCACCGGAAGUGAAGCAGAAAAUUGAAAAAAUGACGACGCCGCUGUCUUCAAGCGGUACUUCAUUCACCGCUGCCGUCAGAAUGUUCGCCCCAGCUACUUUGUGCCCGCAGAAGCAACUUGAAUUAUUAUAUAAUAAUCAUUCUUAUAAGUUAAUCACAUUUUAUAAACAAAAUACUACAAUACAAAUAAAAUUUCCCUCUACAAUAUA
Long non-coding RNA from Aedes albopictus (Asian tiger mosquito), 1375 nucleotides. RefSeq lists it as uncharacterized. The record is from RefSeq and is a predicted model, not a curated record. Lineage: Eukaryota; Metazoa; Arthropoda; Insecta; Diptera; Culicidae. The transcript has 3 exons.